This is a long non-coding RNA of Salvia miltiorrhiza (redroot sage), 1185 nucleotides long. RefSeq lists it as uncharacterized. The record is from RefSeq and is a predicted model, not a curated record. The transcript is spliced from 2 exons. Lineage: Eukaryota; Viridiplantae; Streptophyta; Magnoliopsida; Lamiales; Lamiaceae.
UUUACUGCGCAUGUCCACCGGAAAUUUAGAAAGGCAGUCCCUAGAGUCACACUUUUCAGUAACUUUCAAAAACAUUCAGCCUCCCAAAGUUUUAUGGUAGAAAGAUACAUGUAUUAUACUGAUUUACACCAAAUUUCAAACCAUUUGGCCAACGUUUACUAUUUUUCAAAAAUCAUAGCUUCCAGUCGUGCAAAACUGCCGAAUCUGGUAGACUGUGGGAAAACACCCAUAUCUCGUAAACCACUUGGAGUUUUUCACUCUACUUUUUUUUAAAUAAAACUAGACGCAGAAAGGUUUUCAACAGUGUAAGUCUCGAAUCUAGGAGAUUUCUGAGUCAAAACAGUUUAUUCGUUAAAGUUGAGGCAGAGCAGAAUGAUAAACUGUAGGAGUCUGAAAAUUUCUACUUUGUAAUUGUUUUGAGGAUUUUAAAGUUUUGGUGGAUUAAUACACCAUGUUAUGUCAUGAAAAUACUACUAGAAAAUUUUAUAUUUAUUUCCAAGCUUACGUGAAUAUUUGGGAAUUUACUUACAAGGAAAAAGAUUUCGAGUUCAUAGGAUUAUUUUUUUUAAGUCAUUUGACUAUUGUGAUAAAUCGUGAAAAUGUAUUAUGUGGAAAUUGAUUAUUGCAAAGUAUGAAUGACUAUUUGAUGUUUAUGAAUGCUAUUUACCUAGGAUUGAGAGUCUUUUAAUUGGAUAAGAUAUCUAAUUAAAUUGAGAGGUCCAAUUGGGUAAAUAGUAGAUAGGUUAUAAGAUGAGAUUAAGCAUAUGAUGAAAGCAUAAGUAUUGAGAUAUUAGUUAGAUGAAAUUCUAACUAGAGUUUAUUUUGUCACAUGACAAUCUAAACCACGUGCGCCACCAAAGGUUCGAGUGACGGCCGGCGUUAGUACGACUCUGAGCAUUACGUCAUCGACCCCUGAGACAGGUCUGGCUUGGCGCGAGGAUGGGUGAAAGCUGUUGGAAUUGUCAGUUGGCUGUGUCUUUCCUAUGUCUCAUAUUUAUCCUUAUAAGCUUUGACUCUAUAAGAAUUUGAACUCCCUGCUAUAUGUCUUCACACAUAUAGUAACGCAUCUCGCUGCAUAACUCUGAUGAAACUCUUUAUUUAAUUUGCUUAUGUCUGUAAUAUCCCUUAAGGGAAAUACUUCUCAGACCCUUGCUAAGUUUCAAUGGCUUAAUCAUGUUUACCCAA